This 534-nucleotide ribosomal RNA is filed under the name Paracyrtus albofimbriatus. RNAcentral's name for it is "partial 16S ribosomal RNA". It matches the Rfam family "Bacterial large subunit ribosomal RNA", at positions 1805 to 2613 of the family's 2925-position model. The record is from RNAcentral. Lineage: Eukaryota; Metazoa; Arthropoda; Insecta; Diptera; Acroceridae.
UAUCAAAAACAUGUCUUGAUGAUUUAAAUAUUAAGUCUGACCUGCCCAAUGAUUUUGAUUUAAUGGCCGCAGUAAUUUAACUGUGCAAAGGUAGCAUAAUAAUUAGUCUUUUAAUUGAAGACUAGAAUGAAAGGUUUAACGAAAUAUAGUCUUUAUUAUAUUAAAAUGUAUAAUUUUAUUUUUUAGUGAAAAAGCUAAGAUUAUAAUAUUAGACGAGAAGACCCUAUAGAUUUUUAUAAUAAUUAUAGUAAGUGUAAUUAGAAUUUAAUAUGUUUAUUUAUAUAAAUUAUUUUGUUGGGGUGACAGUAAAAUUAAAUAAAUUUUUAUAUUAUUUAUACAUUAAUUAAUGAGUUUUUGAUCCAUUUUUAUGAUAGUUAAAUUAAAUUACCUUAGGGAUAACAGCAUAAUUUCCUUGGAAAGUUCUUAUUGAUAGGGGAGAUUAUGACCUCGAUGUUGGAUUAGGAUUAAUUUUAGGUGCAGAAGUUUAAAAAUUAAGUCUGUUCGACUUAUAAAAUCUUACAUGAUCUGAGCUCA